This 465-nucleotide ribosomal RNA is filed under the name uncultured bacterium. Its description in RNAcentral is "bacterial SSU rRNA". It matches the Rfam family "Bacterial small subunit ribosomal RNA", at positions 338 to 795 of the family's 1533-position model. The record is from RNAcentral.
CCUACGGGCUGCAGCAGUGGGGAAUAUUGCACAAUGGGCGCAAGCCUGAUGCAGCCAUGCCGCGCGUAUGAAGAAGGCCCUAGGGUUGUAAAGUACUUUCAGUCGGGAGGAAGGCGUUGAUGCUAAUAUCAUCAACGAUUGACGUUACCGACAGAAGAAGCACCGGCUAACUCCGUGCCAGCAGCCGUGGUAAUACGGAGGGUGCAAGCGUUAAUCGGAAUUACUGGGCGUAAAGCGCACGCAGGCGGUUGAUUAAGUGAGAUGUGAAAUCCCCGGGCUUAACCUGGGAAUGGCAUCUAAGACUGGUCAGCUUGAGUCUUGUAGAGGGGGGUAGAAUUCCAUGUGUAGCGGUGAAAUGCGUAGAGAUGUGGAGGAAUACCGGUGGCGAAGGCGGCCCCCUGGACAAAGACUGACGCUCAGGUACGAAAGCGUGGGGAGCAAACAGGAUUAGAUACCCUCGUAGUC